GAUGAAGAACGUAGCGAAAUGCGAAAAGUAGUGUGAAUUGCAGAAUUCAGUGAACCAUCGAAUCUUUGAACGCACAUUGCGCCCGGCAGUAAUCUGCCGGGCAUGCCUGUCCGAGCGUCAUUUCUACCCUCGAGCGAGUCCAGCAUCUAGGUGCUGGGCCUCGCCCGGCGUUGGAGCACUACGGGAAGCCCUGUGCUGUCCCCCGUAGGCCCCGAAAUGAAGUGGCGGUCCUGCCGCGGCGCCCCCUGCGUAGUAUAACAGCUCGCUUCGGGACCCGGUGGAGGCCUGCCGUCAAACCUAUACUCUCUAAGUUUGACCUCGGAUCAGGUAGGGUUACCCGCUGAACUUAAGCAUAUCAAUAAGCGGAGGA
RNAcentral lists this unclassified non-coding RNA (370 nucleotides) under soil metagenome. RNAcentral's name for it is "partial contains 5.8S ribosomal RNA, internal transcribed spacer 2, and large subunit ribosomal RNA". The stretch from base 1 to 120 matches the Rfam family "5.8S ribosomal RNA", at positions 35 to 154 of the family's 154-position model. The record is from RNAcentral.